AGAGUUUGAUUCUGGCUCAGAACGAACGCUGGCGGCGUGGAUAAGACAUGCAAGUCGAACGCUGAUCACCGGGUAGCAAUAUUUGGUGGUUGGAGUGGCGCAAGGGUGCUUAACACGUGGGCAAUUUGCCGUGAAGUUUGGGAUAACCCCGAGAAAUCGGGGCUAAUACCGCAUGUGACCUUUGGUGGGCAUCCACUGGAGUUCAAAGCUGGGGAUCUCGCUUGCGAGACCUGGCGCUUUACGAUAAGCCCGCGGCCUAUCAGCUAGUUGGCGGGGUAACGGCCCACCAAGGCUAGGACGGGUAGCUGGUCUGAGAGGACGACCAGCCACACUGGAACUGAGACACGGUCCAGACACCUACGGGUGGCAGCAGUCGAGAAUUUUUCUCAAUGGGGGAAACCCUGAAGGAGCGACGCCGCGUGGGGGAUGAAUGGCUUCGGCCCGUAAACCCCUGUCAUUCGGGACCAAAUGUUGUUCAUGAACAAUGGGCAGCUUGAUUGUACCGGAAGAGGAAGGGACGGCUAACUCUGUGCCAGCAGCCGCGGUAAUACAGAGGUCCCAAGCGUUGUUCGGAUUUACUGGGCGUAAAGGGUGCGUAGGCGGUGGGGUAAGUUUGAGGUGAAAGCUCCGGGCUCAACCCGGAAACUGCCUUGAAUACUAUCCUGCUAGAGGGUUGGAGGGGAGACUGGAAUUCUCGGUGUAGCAGUGAAAUGCGUAGAUCUCGAGAGGAACACCAGUGGCGAAGGCGAGUCUCUGGACAACACCUGACGCUGAGGCACGAAAGCCAGGGGAGCAAACGGGAUUAGAUACCCCGGUAGUCCUGGCCCUAAACGGUGCGUACUUGCUGUAAGCGGAUUCGACCCCGCUUGUGGCGAAGUUAACACGAUAAGUACGCCGCCUGGGAAGUACGGUCGCAAGAUUAAAACUCAAAGAAAUUGACGGGGGCCUGCACAAGCGGUGGAGUAUGUGGCUUAAUUCGAUACUACGCGAAGAACCUUACCUGGUCUUGACAUGCACGUAGUAGAAGCUUGAAAGAGUAACGAGGUAGCAAUACCAGCGUGCACAGGUGCUGCAUGGCUGUCGUCAGCUCGUGUCGUGAGAUGUUGGGUUAAGUCCCGCAACGAGCGCAACCCCUACGUCCUGUUGCCACUCCCGCGUAAGCGGGAAGCACUCUGGACGGACUGCCUCGCUUCAACGAGGAGGAAGGUGGGGAUGACGUCAAGUCAGUAUGGCCCUUACGACCAGGGCUGCACACGUACUACAAUGCCCGGCACAAAGGGGAGCCAACCGGCAACGGUGAGCAAAUCCUAAAAACCGGGCCCAGUUCAGAUUGUCGUCUGCAAUUCGACGGCAUGAAGCUGGAAUCGCUAGUAAUGGCGCAUCAGCUACGGCGCCGUGAAUACGUUCCCAGGCCUUGUACACACCGCCCGUCACAUCAUGAAAGCCGUUUGUACCCAAAGCCAUCACGUGAAUCGCAAGGAAACAGAUGCCUAAGGUAUGAAUGGUGAUUGGGAUGAAGUCGUAACAAGGUA
RNAcentral lists this ribosomal RNA (1532 nucleotides) under metagenome. RNAcentral describes it as "bacterial SSU rRNA". It matches the Rfam family "Bacterial small subunit ribosomal RNA". The record is from RNAcentral.